RNAcentral lists this ribosomal RNA (421 nucleotides) under Culicoides trifasciellus. Its description in RNAcentral is "partial 16S ribosomal RNA". The record is from RNAcentral. Lineage: Eukaryota; Metazoa; Arthropoda; Insecta; Diptera; Ceratopogonidae.
AAAGUUGACCGUGCAAAGGUAGCAUAAUCAAUUGUUUUUUAAUUGAAGGCUUGAAUGAAUGGUUGUAUGAGAUAUAAACUAUUUUUAUUUUAAUAAAAUGAAUUUAAAAUUUUAGUAAAAAUGCUAAAAUUAAAAUAUUAGACGAGAAGACCCUAUAGAUCUUUAUUUAAAUUUUUAUUUAAAAAUAUUGAAUAAUUUAUUUUAAUUUAAAAUUUAAAUUUUAUUGGGGCGAUAAUGAAAUUUUAAAAACUUUUAUUUAAAAUAAUAAAAAUAAUUAAUUUUUUGAUCCAUUAAUAAUGAUUAAAAGUUUAAGUUACCUUAGGGAUAACAGCAUAAUUAUUUUAAAAAGUUCUUAUUAAUAAAAUAGAUUAUGACCUCGAUGGAGCACGUGAGAUGAGUGUAUCAAUAGGAGCGCACCCAG